UAUCCAGACUCCUACGGGAGGCAGCAGUGGGGAAUAUUGCACAAUGGGGGAAACCCUGAUGCAGCGACGCCGCGUGAGCGAUGAAGUAUUUCGGUAUGUAAAGCUCUAUCAGCAGGGAAGAAGAUGACGGUACCUGACUAAGAAGCCCCGGCUAACUACGUGCCAGCAGCCGCGGUAAUACGUAGGGGGCAAGCGUUAUCCGGAUUUACUGGGUGUAAAGGGAGCGUAGACGGCGAUGCAAGCCAGAUGUGAAAGCCCGGGGCUCAACCCCGGGACUGCAUUUGGAACUGUGUGGCUGGAGUGUCGGAGAGGCAGGCGGAAUUCCUAGUGUAGCGGUGAAAUGCGUAGAUAUUAGGAGGAACACCAGUGGCGAAGGCGGCUUACUGGGCUUUAACUGACGCUGAGGCACGAAAGCGUGGGUAGCAAACAGGAUUAGAUACCCUAGUAA
RNAcentral lists this ribosomal RNA (448 nucleotides) under uncultured bacterium. RNAcentral describes it as "bacterial SSU rRNA". It matches the Rfam family "Bacterial small subunit ribosomal RNA", at positions 328 to 793 of the family's 1533-position model. The record is from RNAcentral.